RNAcentral lists this ribosomal RNA (425 nucleotides) under uncultured bacterium. RNAcentral's name for it is "partial 16S ribosomal RNA". It matches the Rfam family "Bacterial small subunit ribosomal RNA", at positions 354 to 796 of the family's 1533-position model. The record is from RNAcentral.
GUGGGGAAUAUUGGACAAUGGGCGCAAGCCUGAUCCAGCCAUGCCGCGUGAGUGAUGAAGGCCUUAGGGUUGUAAAGCUCUUUCAGUGGGGACGAUAAUGACGGUACCCACAGAAGAAGCCCCGGCUAACUUCGUGCCAGCAGCCGCGGUAAUACGAAGGGGGCUAGCGUUGUUCGGAUUUACUGGGCGUAAAGCGCACGUAGGCGGAUCGUUAAGUCGGGGGUGAAAUCCUGGAGCUCAACUCCAGAACUGCCUUCGAUACUGGCGAUCUUGAGUCCGGAAGAGGUGAGUGGAACUCCGAGUGUAGAGGUGAAAUUCGUAGAUAUUCGGAAGAACACCAGUGGCGAAGGCGACUCACUGGCCCGUUACUGACGCUGAGGCGCGAAAGCGUGGGGAGCAAACAGGAUUAGAUACCCGAGUAGUCC